This is a non-coding RNA of Jannaschia aquimarina, 99 nucleotides long. NCBI's taxonomy places the organism in Bacteria, Pseudomonadati, Pseudomonadota, Alphaproteobacteria, Rhodobacterales, Roseobacteraceae. The record is from Rfam.
CGAGAGGUUGGCACGGGCGAGCGCCCCGCCAACCUGGUCAGGUCCGGAAGGAAGCAGCCACAACGGGUCCCGCUCGGGUCGUUGUCCAGCCUCUCACCC